RNAcentral lists this transfer RNA (66 nucleotides) under Altica cirsicola. RNAcentral's name for it is "tRNA-Trp". RNAcentral also lists the same sequence under 2 other names. The record is from RNAcentral. Lineage: Eukaryota; Metazoa; Arthropoda; Insecta; Coleoptera; Chrysomelidae.
AAGGAUUUAGGUUAAACAAACCUUUAACCUUCAAAGUUAAAAAUAGGGUAAAUUCUCUAAGCCUUA